Molecule: transfer RNA, 76 nt
Filed under: Candidatus Kinetoplastidibacterium desouzai TCC079E
Lineage: Bacteria; Pseudomonadati; Pseudomonadota; Betaproteobacteria
Description: tRNA-Ala (CGC) (tRNA-Ala-CGC-1-1)
Rfam family: tRNA
About the family: Transfer RNA (tRNA) molecules are approximately 80 nucleotides in length. Their secondary structure includes four short double-helical elements and three loops (D, anti-codon, and T loops).
Source: RNAcentral
GGGGCGGUAGCUCAAAUGGUAGAGCGUCGCGUUCGCAAUGCGAAGGCCGGGAGUUCGAUCCUCCUCCGCUCCACCA